GACGAACGCUGGCGGCGUGCUUAACACAUGCAAGUCGAACGGAAAGGCCCUGCUUUUGUGGGGUGCUCGAGUGGCGAACGGGUGAGUAACACGUGAGUAACCUGCCCUUGACUUUGGGAUAACUUCAGGAAACAGGGGCUAAUACCGGAUAGGAGCUCCUGCUGCAUGGUGGGGGUUGGAAAGUUUCGGCGGUUGGGGAUGGACUCGCGGCUUAUCAGCUUGUUGGUGGGGUAGUGGCUUACCAAGGCUUUGACGGGUAGCCGGCCUGAGAGGGUGGCCGGCCACAUUGGGACUGAGAUACGGCCCAGACUCCUACGGGAGGCAGCAGUGGGGAAUAUUGCACAAUGGGCGGAAGCCUGAUGCAGCAACGCCGCGUGCGGGAUGACGGCCUUCGGGUUGUAAACCGCUUUCGCCUGUGACGAAGCGUGAGUGACGGUAAUGGGUAAAGAAGCACCGGCUAACUACGUG
Molecule: ribosomal RNA, 468 nt
Filed under: uncultured bacterium
Lineage: Bacteria
Description: partial 16S ribosomal RNA
Rfam family: Bacterial small subunit ribosomal RNA
Source: RNAcentral